GCUGGUUUUCUAUUACCCUCGCUGAACUUAAGCAUAUCAAUAAGCGGAGGAAAGAAACCAACAGGGAUUGCCUUAGUAACGGCGAGUGAAGCGGCAACAGCUCAAAUUUGAAAUCUGGCUCCUUUCAGAGUCCGAGUUGUAAUUUGCAGAGGGCGCUUUGGCUUUGGCAGCGGUCCAAGUUCCUUGGAACAGGACGUCACAGAGGGUGAGAAUCCCGUACGUGGUCGCUAGCUAUUGCCGUGUAAAGCCCCUUCGACGAGUCGAGUUGUUUGGGAAUGCAGCUCUAAAUGGGAGGUAAAUUUCUUCUAAAGCUAAAUAUUGGCCAGAGACCGAUAGCGCACAAAGUAGAGUGAUCGAAAAGAUGAAAAGCACUUUGGAAAGAGAGUCAAACAGCACGUGAAAUUGUUGAAAGGGAAGCGCUUGCAGCCAGACUUGCUUGCAGUUGCUCAUCCGGGCUUUUGCCCGGUGCACUCUUCUGCAGGCAGGCCAGCAUCAGUUUGGGCGGUGGGAUAAAGGUCUCUGACACGUUCCUUCCUUCGGGUUGGCCAUAUAGGGGAGACGUCAUACCACCAGCCUGGACUGAGGUCCGCGCAUCUGCUAGGAUGCUGGCGUAAUGGCUGUAAGCGGCCCGUCUUGAAACACGGACCAAGGAGUCUAACAUCUAUGCGAGUGUUUGGGUGUCAAGCCCGAGCGCGUAAUGAAAGUGAACGGAGGUGGGAACCCGCAAGGGCGCACCAUCGACCGAUCCUGAAGUUUACGGAAGGAUUUGAGUAAGAGCAUGGCUGUUGGGACCCGAAAGAUGGUGAACUAUGCUUGAAUAGGGUGAAGCCAGAGGAAACUCUGGUGGAGGCUCGCAGCGGUUCUGACGUGCAAAUCGAUCGUCAAAUUUGGGCAUAGGGGCGAAC
Molecule: ribosomal RNA, 905 nt
Filed under: Curvularia affinis
Lineage: Eukaryota; Fungi; Ascomycota; Dothideomycetes; Pleosporales; Pleosporaceae
Description: partial large subunit ribosomal RNA
Rfam family: Eukaryotic large subunit ribosomal RNA
Source: RNAcentral